RNAcentral lists this ribosomal RNA (253 nucleotides) under uncultured bacterium. Its description in RNAcentral is "partial 16S ribosomal RNA". It matches the Rfam family "Bacterial small subunit ribosomal RNA", at positions 524 to 776 of the family's 1533-position model. The record is from RNAcentral.
UACGAAGGGGGCUAGCGUUGCUCGGAAUCACUGGGCGUAAAGCGCACGUAGGCGGCUUUCUAAGUCAGGGGUGAAAUCCUGGAGCUCAACUCCAGAACUGCCUUUGAUACUGGAGAGCUUGAGUCCGGAAGAGGUGAGUGGAACUCCGAGUGUAGAGGUGAAAUUCGUAGAUAUUCGGAAGAACACCAGUGGCGAAGGCGGCUCACUGGUCCGGUACUGACGCUGAGGCGCGACAGCGUGGGGAGCAAACAGG